Long non-coding RNA from Oncorhynchus kisutch (coho salmon), 339 nucleotides. RefSeq lists it as uncharacterized. The transcript has 2 exons. Lineage: Eukaryota; Metazoa; Chordata; Actinopteri; Salmoniformes; Salmonidae. The record is from RefSeq and is a predicted model, not a curated record.
AGAAACACAAUGAUAUCCUGAGAAGGGCAAGAGCAGUGGGAGAUCCUUGGCAGGCGGUUUUAGGGAUGUACACGCGUUCACUUUCUCCCUUUGUGCCGACCAGUUUGACGUAAACACUGUGCAAUGUGCCGGCAAGCAGCAUUUCUCCAGUAAACACUGUUCAAUGUGCCGGCAAGCAGCAUUUCUCCAGUAAACACUUUCCCUGUGUACUUCACCAUGAUGAUUCUACACACAGCAAGACAACAUAUUAGACAUACUGCGUUACAAUUUGAGCCAACUCAAGAUGAUCAACUGCAACUAAAUGUUUGCCACAAUAAAUGGGUCGUUCCACAAAAAGUC